UAAUUGGCUCAGGAUUGAACGCUGGCGGCGUGCCUAAUACAUGCAAGUAGAACGCUGAAGAGAGGAGCUUGCUCUUCUUGGAUGAGUUGCGAACGGGUGAGUAACGCGUAGGUAACCUGCCUGGUAGCGGGGGAUAACUAUUGGAAACGAUAGCUAAUACCGCAUAAAAUUGAUUAUUGCAUGAUAAUUAAUUGAAAGAUGCAAUUGCAUCACUACCAGAUGGACCUGCGUUGUAUUAGCUAGUUGGUGAGGUAACGGCUCACCAAGGCGACGAUACAUAGCCGACCUGAGAGGGUGAUCGGCCACACUGGGACUGAGACACGGCCCAGACUCCUACGGGAGGCAGCAGUAGGGAAUCUUCGGCAAUGGGGGGAACCCUGACCGAGCAACGCCGCGUGAGUGAAGAAGGUUUUCGGAUCGUAAAGCUCUGUUGUAAGAGAAGAACGGGUGUGAGAGUGGAAAGUUCACACUGUGACGGUAUCUUACCAGAAAGGGACGGCUAACUACGUGCCAGCAGCCGCGGUAAUACGUAGGUCCCGAGCGUUGUCCGGAUUUAUUGGGCGUAAAGCGAGCGCAGGCGGUUAGAUAAGUCUGAAGUUAAAGGCUGUGGCUUAACCAUAGUAUGCUUUGGAAACUGUUUAACUUGAGUGCAGAAGGGGAGAGUGGAAUUCCAUGUGUA
RNAcentral lists this ribosomal RNA (679 nucleotides) under Streptococcus sanguinis. RNAcentral's name for it is "bacterial SSU rRNA". It matches the Rfam family "Bacterial small subunit ribosomal RNA", at positions 16 to 677 of the family's 1533-position model. The record is from RNAcentral. Lineage: Bacteria; Bacillati; Bacillota; Bacilli; Lactobacillales; Streptococcaceae.